AAUGAACGCUGGUGGCAGGCCUAACACAUGCAAGUCGAACGGAUCCUUCGGGAUUAGUGGCGGACGGGUGAGUAACGCGUGGGAACAUACCCUUUGGUACGGAAUAGCCUCGGGAAACUGGGAGUAAUACCGUAUGUGGUCGAGAGACGAAAGAUUUAUCGGCAAAGGAUUGGCCCGCGUUGGAUUAGGUAGUUGGGGGGUAAUGGCCUACCAAGCCGACGAUCCAUAGCUGGUUUGAGAGGAUGAUCAGCCACACUGGGACUGAGACACGGCCCAGACUCCUACGGGAGGCAGCAGUGGGGAAUCUUAGACAAUGGGGGAAACCCUGAUCUAGCCAUGCCGCGUGAUCGAUGAAGGCCUUAGGGUUGUAAAGAUCUUUCAGGUGGGAAGAUAAUGACUGUACCACCAGAAGAAGCCCCGGCUAACUCCGUGCCAGCAGCCGCAGUAA
This 448-nucleotide ribosomal RNA is filed under the name uncultured bacterium. RNAcentral describes it as "partial 16S ribosomal RNA". It matches the Rfam family "Bacterial small subunit ribosomal RNA", at positions 29 to 523 of the family's 1533-position model. The record is from RNAcentral.